RNAcentral lists this ribosomal RNA (256 nucleotides) under uncultured bacterium. RNAcentral's name for it is "partial 16S ribosomal RNA". It matches the Rfam family "Bacterial small subunit ribosomal RNA", at positions 524 to 777 of the family's 1533-position model. The record is from RNAcentral.
UACGAAGGGGGGCUAGCGUUGCUCGGAAUCACUGGGCGUAAAGGGUGCGUAGGCGGGUCUUUUAAGUCAGGGGUGAAAUCCUGGAGCUCAACUCCAGAACUGCCUUUGAUACUGAGGAUCUUGAGUUCGGGAGAGGUGAGUGGAACUGCGAGUGUAGAGGUGAAAUUCGUAGAUAUUCGCAAGAACACCAGUGGCGAAGGCGGCUCACUGGCCCGAUACUGACGCUGAGGCACGAAAGCGUGGGGAGCAAGCAGGG